UACUCCUACGGGAGGCAGCAGUAGGGGAUAUUGCACAAUGGGCGGAAGCCUGAUGCAGCAACGCCGCGUGAGUGAUGAAGGCCCUCGGGUCGUAAAACUCUUUUCAAGAGGAAGAGGAAGGACGGUACUCUUGGAAUAAGCCUCGGCUAACUUCGUGCCAGCAGCCGCGGUAAUA
RNAcentral lists this ribosomal RNA (175 nucleotides) under uncultured Bellilinea sp. Its description in RNAcentral is "partial 16S ribosomal RNA". It matches the Rfam family "Bacterial small subunit ribosomal RNA", at positions 334 to 525 of the family's 1533-position model. Lineage: Bacteria; Bacillati; Chloroflexota; Anaerolineae; Anaerolineales; Anaerolineaceae. The record is from RNAcentral.